ACCCGGAGGAAGGUGGGGAUGACGUCAAAUCAUCAUGCCCCUUAUGACCUGGGCUACACACGUGCUACAAUGGAUGGUACAACGAGUCGCAAACUCGCGAGGGUAAGCUAAUCUCUUAAAGCCAUUCUCAGUUCGGAUUGUAGUCUGCAACUCGACUACAUGAAGUCGGAAUCGCUAGUAAUCGCGGAUCAGCACGCCGCGGUGAAUACGUUCCCGGGCCUUGUACACACCGCCCGUCACACCAUGAGAGUUUGUAACACCCAAAGUCGGUGGGGUAACCUUCGGGAGCCAGCCGCCUAAGGUGGGAUAGAUGAUUAGGGUGAAGUCGUAACAAGGUAACCAAGGGCGAAUUCUG
This 355-nucleotide ribosomal RNA is filed under the name uncultured Weissella sp. Its description in RNAcentral is "bacterial SSU rRNA". It matches the Rfam family "Bacterial small subunit ribosomal RNA", at positions 1161 to 1515 of the family's 1533-position model. The record is from RNAcentral. Lineage: Bacteria; Bacillati; Bacillota; Bacilli; Lactobacillales; Lactobacillaceae.